RNAcentral lists this long non-coding RNA (1736 nucleotides) under Homo sapiens (human). RNAcentral's name for it is "HSALNT0198571". Lineage: Eukaryota; Metazoa; Chordata; Mammalia; Primates; Hominidae. The record is from RNAcentral.
AUGAGAUGUGUGCACGUGUGUCUGUGAGAGGUGUGUGUGUGCAUGUGUGAGGUAUAUGAAGUGUUUGUGUGAUGUGCGUGGUGUGUUUCUGUGUGGUAUUUGUGUGGUGUGUACAUGUGUGAUGCAUGGGGUGUGGGGUGUGAAGUGUGUAUGUGGUAUGUGGUAUGUGUGUGCAUGUAUCCAGUGAAUUAAAUUGGAGACUUUAUCCCAAGGUGAGAGCUCAGGCUGCACUGUCACGUGUAAAGAAAUCAUUUAUACCUUAACAACAAUCAUCUAAAAAUAUUGACAUCAGAAGGCAUGCAAACACUGAAAACCCUCCAGCACAGAGGCUAAGUACUCUGAAGGUGACUCGAUGGCUUGAUUUUGCUGUUAGAAACAAGGAGACACUAGUGUGAGUUUGUGUAGCAUGUGUAUGGUGUGUUUGUGUGUGAGGUGGGUGUGUUACAUGUCUGCAUGGUGUGUGUGGGGUGUGUGUAUAUAUAUGUGAGGUGUGUGGGUUUGUGUGUGGCGUGUGUGGUCUGGAUGUGUCUGUGUGUGGUUUGUGUGUGUGUGAGGUGUGUGUGUAUAUGUGAGAUGUGUAUGUGGUCUAUUUGUGUGUGUGGUGUGUGAGGUGUGUUUGUGGUGUGUGAGGUGUGUAUAGUGUGUGAGGUGUGUGGUGUAUGUUUGUGAGGUCUGUGUGAGGUGCAUUUGUGGUGUAUGUGUGAGGUGUGUUCGCAUACAUGUGUGUGGUAUGGGAGGUAUGUGUGUGGUGUGUGAGGUGUGUGUCUGUGUGAAGUAUGGGGUGUGUGAAGUGUGUGGUGUGUAUGUGUGAGGUGUAUAUGUGUGUGAAAUAUGUAUGUGGUGUGUUUGUAUGUGUAUGUGUUUGAGGGGUGUGUGUGUAUGUGUGUGAGGUGUGUGUGUGUGAGGGGUGAGGUGUGUGUGGUGUGUGUGCGAGGUGUGUGGGGGGUUGAGGUGUGAGAUGUGGGAGGUGUGUGGUGUGUGUGAGGUGUGUGUAUGUGUUGGAGGUAUUUGCGUAUGUAUGCGUGUGAAUGUGUGUAUGUGUGUGAAAUGUUUAUGUGGUGUGUUUGUAUUUGUAUGUGUGUGAGGUGUGUGGUGUGUGAGGAGUGCCUGUGGUGUGUGUGUGAGGUGAGUAUAUGUGUGAAAUGUGUAUAUGGUGUGGUGUGUGUGUGAAGUGUAUGUGUGUGAGGUGUGUAUGUGUGUGAGGUGUGUAUGUGUGUGAAAUAUGUAUAUGGUGUAUUUGUAUGUGUAUAUAUGUGAGGUGUGUGGUGUGUGUGUGUUAUGUGUGUGAAAUGUGUAUAUGGUGUAUUUGUAUGUGUAUGUGUGUGAGUAGUGUGUGGUGUGUGUUAUGUGUGAAGUGUAUGUGAGGUGUGCUAUGUGUGUGAAAUGUGUAUAUGGUGUAUUUGUAUGUGUAUGUGUGUGAGUGGUGUGUGUGGUGUGUGGUGUGUGUGAGGUGUAUGUGAGGUGUGUAUGUGUGUGAAAUGUGUAUAUGUUGUGUUUGCAUGUCUGUGGAUGUGUGGUAUGUGUGAGGUGCCUGUGAGGGGUGUGCACACACCGGCACAGAUACACUGAGGAGAUGUCCCUCUUGGCUCAGCGGCGUGGACGUGUGCUAUGGGAUUGGAACAGUCGGGAGGAGGAAGGCGCUCGCCUUCUCUGUGCGCAUGUCCUUUGACUUUUUCUUACAGACUCCUGCUCUGAUGUGCUGAUCUCUGAGUCAUGUUUCUCUUUUCAUGCUAGAC